RNAcentral lists this unclassified non-coding RNA (259 nucleotides) under Hevea brasiliensis (rubber tree). The record is from RNAcentral. Lineage: Eukaryota; Viridiplantae; Streptophyta; Magnoliopsida; Malpighiales; Euphorbiaceae.
GAAGACCUAUGGAAACAAACAACACAAACAGAAGGUGUUGAGCUCCCCACCUUCAGGACGUAUGACACGGAUCAGUGAAGGUGCUCCGCAGGACAGACUUAUUUAGCUAGUCUGUAAGACAGUCUGUGAUUAUAGAGUCGAAAUGCUACACGCCCAAUCCUGCAAGCCGCCGUUUGGUUGCAUUUGACACAGAAACCUGACCAAGCCUGUCCGCCUCAGUCGAUACUAUGCGUUCAUUCAGAGGCGUGUAGUGCCGAAG